This 1447-nucleotide ribosomal RNA is filed under the name uncultured Bordetella sp. RNAcentral's name for it is "partial 16S-23S ribosomal RNA intergenic spacer". It matches the Rfam family "Bacterial small subunit ribosomal RNA". The record is from RNAcentral. Lineage: Bacteria; Pseudomonadati; Pseudomonadota; Betaproteobacteria; Burkholderiales; Alcaligenaceae.
GUUCGAUUAUGGCUCAGUUGAACGCUGGCGGAUCUUACACGCUGGUCGGGCGGCACGGACUUCGGUCUGGUGGCGAGUAGAACGGGUGAGUAAUGUAUCAGACGUGCUGAAGUAGCGAGAGAUAACUACGCGAAAGCGUAGCUAAUACCGCAUACGCCCUUCGAAAGCGGGGACGGGCCUCGCAUAAUGGGAAGCGGCCGAUAUCGGAUUGGCUGGUUGGUGGGGUAACGGCUCACCAAGGCGACGAUCCGUAGCUGGUUUGAGAGGACGACCGAAAGCCACUGGGACUGAGACACGAGCCAGACUCCUACGGGAGAGCAGCGGUAGAAAUUUUGGACAAUGGGGGAAACCCUGAUCCUGCCAUCACGUGUGCGAUGAAGGCCUUCGGGUUGUAAAGCACUUUUGGCAGGAAAGAAACGGCCUGGAUGUACCGUGCAAUGACAAUACCUGCACAGAAUAAGCACCGGCUAACUACGUGCCAGCAGCCGCGGUAAUACGUAGGGUGCAAAGCGUUAAUCGGAAUUACUGGGCGUAAAGCGUGCGCGGGCGGUUCGGAAAGAUGUGAAAUCCCAAGAACAACUUUGGAACUGCAUUUUUAACUACCGAGCUAGAGUGUGUCAGAGGAGGUGGAAUUCCGCGCGUGUAGCAGUGAAAUGCGUAGACAUAAGAACACCGAUGGCGAAGGCAGCCUCCUGGGAUAACGCUGACGCUCAUGCACGAAAGCGUGGGGGCAAACAGGACUGCGAUCACCCUGUUAGUCCACGCCUAAACAGUGUCAACCAGCUGUUGGGGCCUUCGGGCCUUGGUAGCGCAACUAACGCGUGAGAUGACACUUCUGGGGAGUACGGUCGCAAGAUUAAAACUCAAAGGAAUUGACGGGAUACCACUGGCGGUGGAUGAUGUGGAUUAAUUCGGUGCAACGAAAAACCUUACCCUUGACAUGUCUGGAAUCCCGAAGAUUUGGGAGUGCUCGCAAGAGAACCGGAACACAGGUGCUGCAUGGCUGUCGUCAGCUCGUGUCAGUGAGAUGUUGGGUUAAGUCCCACUGGCAAACGCAACCCUUAUCAUUAGUUUUGCUGAAAGGAGCAUCUAAUGAGACUGCCGGUAUUCGACCGGAGGGGAAGGUGGGGAUGACGUCAGAACCUCAUGGCCCUUAUGGGUAGGAGCUUCACGUCAUACAAUGGUCGGGACAGAGGGUCGCUAGCCCGCGAGAAGGAGCCAAUCCCAGAAACCCGAUCGUAGUCGGAUCACAGUCUGCAACUCGACUGCGUGAGAAGUCGGAAUCGCUAGUAAUCGCGGAUCAGCAUGUCGCGGUGAAUACGUUCCCGGGUCUUGUACACACCGCCCGUCACACCAUGGGAGUCACAGGUUUCUGAUAGUAGUUAGCCCUAACAUGGAAGGGCGUUAUUACGGUAGGAUUCAUGACUGGGGUGGUAACAAGACGUAA